This 119-nucleotide ribosomal RNA is filed under the name Triticum aestivum (bread wheat). The record is from RNAcentral. Lineage: Eukaryota; Viridiplantae; Streptophyta; Magnoliopsida; Poales; Poaceae.
AGAUGCGAUCAUACCAGCACUAAAGCACCGGAUUCCAUCAGAACUCCAAAGUUAAGCGUGCUUGGGCGAGAGUAGUAAUAGGAUGGGUGACCUCCUGGGAAGUUCUCGUGUUGCAUUCC